UGUCCAAUGAUGACAGUGACCAUGUAGCAAAGAUUAUGACUCAUCUAAUUCUGUGUGUCUCAGAUUCAUU
RNAcentral lists this small nucleolar RNA (70 nucleotides) under Pteropus vampyrus (large flying fox). RNAcentral describes it as "Small nucleolar RNA SNORD112 (ENSPVAG00000028214.1)". The record is from RNAcentral. Lineage: Eukaryota; Metazoa; Chordata; Mammalia; Chiroptera; Pteropodidae.